This 158-nucleotide small RNA is filed under the name Yoonia sediminilitoris. RNAcentral's name for it is "6S / SsrS RNA". The record is from RNAcentral. Lineage: Bacteria; Pseudomonadati; Pseudomonadota; Alphaproteobacteria; Rhodobacterales; Paracoccaceae.
GGGCUUCUGCUCUUCUCGUUGUAACGGGGUUACAUUCCAGUGGCCUUAAGCAAAUCCGAGGGAGCUGGCUCUGUCUGAGCCCUGGUUCAGUUAUCUGGCGCCCACCUGUAAAUACAGGUCCUCGGGAAUAAAUCCCAUACGGUCGCUGCGGUUCCCGC